GCUCCGUAGGUGAACCUGCGGAGGGAUCAUUACAGAGUUCAUGCCCUACCGGGUAGAUCUCCCACCCUAUGUUAUUAUUACUUUGUUGCUUUGGCGGGCCGUUAGGCUCCGGCCCGACUACCGGCCCCGGCUGGUAAGCGCCCGCCAGAGGACCCAAAACCCUGUAUAUUAGUGUCGUCUGAGUACUAUAUAAUAGUUAAAACUUUCAACAACGGACCUCUUGGUUCUG
RNAcentral lists this unclassified non-coding RNA (229 nucleotides) under plant metagenome. Its description in RNAcentral is "partial contains small subunit ribosomal RNA, internal transcribed spacer 1, and 5.8S ribosomal RNA". The record is from RNAcentral.